CUACGGGCUGCUGCAGUGGGGAAUAUUACACAAUGGAGGAAACUCUGAUGCAGCAACGCCGCGUGGAGGAUGACACUUUUCGGAGCGUAAACUCCUUUUAUAUAGGAAGAAGAUGACGGUACUAUAUGAAUAAGCGCCUGCUAACUCCGUGCCAGCAGCCGCGGUAAUACGGAGGGCGCAAGCGUUACUCGGAAUCACUGGGCGUAAAGAGCGUGUAGGCGGAUUAAAAAGUCAGAAGUGAAAUCCUAUAGCUUAACUAUAGAACUGCUUCUGAAACUCUUAAUCUAGAAUAUGGGAGAGGUAGAUGGAAUUUCUGGUGUAGGGGUAAAAUCCGUAGAGAUCAGAAGGAAUACCGAUUGCGAAGGCGAUCUACUAGAACAUUAUUGACGCUGAGACGCGAAAGCGUGGGGAGCAAACAGGAUUAGAUACCCUUGUAGUC
This 439-nucleotide ribosomal RNA is filed under the name uncultured bacterium. RNAcentral's name for it is "partial 16S ribosomal RNA". It matches the Rfam family "Bacterial small subunit ribosomal RNA", at positions 339 to 795 of the family's 1533-position model. The record is from RNAcentral.